Molecule: long non-coding RNA, 1524 nt
Organism: Balaenoptera ricei (Rice's whale)
Lineage: Eukaryota; Metazoa; Chordata; Mammalia; Artiodactyla; Balaenopteridae
Exons: 5
Source: RefSeq, a predicted model, not a curated record
UCCCCAGGGACUCAAAAGCCUGCUUGGGCGGCGGCCGUGAGGGCCCUGAGCCCGGGGUGAACCCGAAUCGCAUCACACUCCCACCCGCACCCUCGGCGCACUGAGAAAAGACACCGUCCGAAGGAAGCACCGGUGCCCACCUGGACCUGUGGGUGCCGUGCUGCCAGGGCUGCCCGCUGCACGGCCUCCACCCUCGAGCCGCGUGGAAGGUGCUGUAAACUCUCACCUGGAUUCCUUAGCCCUUGUGAAGGUAUUUCCAUGUGUGGAUGGUUGUUCAAAUUGAUGUUUUUUGAGGGACAAGGGCUGGAAACGAUUUUGCCAUCUCGCUGAUAUCACUCCUAAGUGAUAUAAAAAGCAGUCACAGACAAGCCUGUCUUCACCAACCUGGGAAAUGGAGAGACUGGAGGACCUCUGCACUUAGCCCCACGGUGGCAGGAAUCCCAGCGAACACCAUCCCCAAAAAAAGUGCCGUCCAGGAAGGAGUUGUGGGAGACAGCCCUUCGAGGAGGCUGCUUUCGUUUGAUCUGCACCUUCUAAUACCUCUGAAGCACUUUGCCAUUUUCUGCCUGGGUCUGUUCAGGGCUGUGUCCAGCCCACGGCGGCUCCUCUCGCUCUGGGCUUUGGCCCCGAGGAAGCGGUAGGAACGGUCGCGGCAACAAAGGCCCUUCCUGACCAGCGGCGUCUCGUGAUGCCUUUGGGUUGCUGCCCGCGGAGGAUGCUGCUGCCCGCGGCUGCGGCUCUGAACCGACCGGCAUGGAGUCCGGCGACAUAAACGUGGACUCUACAGACUGCGACGUCACGGGACGCUGGUGAGGAUGUUUGCAAGGCAAAAAUAUUUGAAGUUUCAGCAAAGAGAACGCGCCGUGCUUCCUCUAAACCGAACACCACAGCUCCUGUAACUGAUGCUUUCACUCCUUGCGUAAGCUGCUGGGGAGCUCACAGCCAAAACUGUGUCCUGCUUCCCUGCACCCGAAGCAGGACAUUUAGUGUGCCCUGCUGGGAGGUCAUCUAACCUUUAUUUUCCCGUUCACGUUCCUCUUCAGUCCCUCAAAGGGUUUGAUGCCUCUUAUUCCAAAUAAAACCGGUUGGUAUGAGGUUCACAGGAUCGUUUCUCGACAGUCAGCAACCUGGACAACGAGUGCCCCAGCGUCUGUCCUUCCCGCUGUCUGCAGCCCAAAGCGCUAGGGCUGCUCGCGGGUAUUGACGUUCAUUUAAAAUCCUGCCCUGGGGGCUUCCCUAGUGGCGCAGUGGUUGAGACUCUGCCUGCCAAUGCAGGGGACACGGGUUCGAGCCCUGGUCUGGGAAGAUCCCACAUGCCGCGGAGCAACUAGGCCCGUGAGUCACAACUACUGAGCCUGCGUGUCUGGAGCCUGUGCUCCGCAACAAGAGAGGCCGCGAUAGUGAGAGGCCCGCGCACCGCGAUGAAGAGUGGCCCCCCGCUUGCCACAACUAGAGAGAGCCCUCGCACAGAAAUGAAGACCCAACACAGCCAAAAAUAAAUAAAUAAAUAAAUAAAUAAUAAAA